Molecule: long non-coding RNA, 3996 nt
Organism: Triticum aestivum (bread wheat)
Lineage: Eukaryota; Viridiplantae; Streptophyta; Magnoliopsida; Poales; Poaceae
Exons: 4
Source: RefSeq, a predicted model, not a curated record
UCUCUCUUCCUCCCCACAUGAAAAACGGAUCAGGCCAUCGCUCCCGUAGGUCUCCUUCAGACGCCGCGGUUCCCAACCGCAGCAGCAUCCAGCACCCCCAAUUGCCGCUCUUCCUAAUCCUCUUUCUUGACGAGUCUUAUCUUUGGGACGUUUCUCCCUUCGGUCUUUCAUCCAUGCUGGAAUCGAUCUGAAAUAACUAGUAAUCCAAUAUAUAUUCUCAGGAUGGAAUCUGUCCAAUAUGGUUGAUGCAUCGGAGGAGGUGUACCAUGUACCACAAUAGUUUCAAGCAGAUUGUGUUGAUCAUCCCUGCAUCCAGUUAGCACGCAAGUAACUCGGUAUCCUUGAAUUUCCUGAUUUGGAUAAUUUCUACUCCUAAAAUUUAUCUCUAAUACUCUCCACAAGGUUGGUGCUAGCUCUGCAAUUUUGAAAGGCUGAUUUAUGGAAAGUGCGUGUCCACGUAAACUUGGAUUUGUGGUGACUAUGUAAGGCUGAUGAGGAUGACAGAUGAUAUAGCCUGAUUUAUUUCCAUCCGCUAUAAGGCACUUGAGCCGGGCCGAUGCCUACGCCAUAAUCCGAGCUGCUUAGUGUGUACCUCUCAAUGCCCCAGCCGGAACAACCAUGGCCACGUACUUGUUGAGGACAACCUCUCCGCGACUCCAAUGUUCUAUUACGAUCUCUCAACUAGGCAUACAAUAGACCGUGAAGUGUGGCAUCAAGAACAUCAGCACGCUACAGGAGAAGACCAUGAAGAUCAGCAAGGAAGUGUUGCAUGUGUCAUGAAGGUUGGUCAAGAAGGUGUGAGACUGCUGCUACUUAAAGGUCAGGGUGGCCUGCAACCACAACAAGACACCCGCCAUGCAUGUUCCUUGCAAGCAGCAGCAUGAAUUUGCCAUCAAUAACAUAACAAGGACCAAAUCGAUCAUUGUCUACAUGUGUUACUACUCUCAGCAGAGUGGAAUAAAUGUUAAAAAAUUUGUGUACUGGCCAUUGUUUUAUUAUAGACCCUCAUCUCUCAAAUUUUCUGCUACAAAUUUGGUGCAGGUAAGUCCAUAGUUCUGUGGAUACGACAUCGGCAUGUCCAGAAUUAUGGGUUUACAUUUUAGUUUUAUUUCGUGCCAACUUACAUGAGAAAACAGUAGAAAGGUCAGUUCAUUUUCCCCUGUUAUGCAUGGAUAUGAUACCUUCUCACGUUCUACUCCUAAAUAGUUAGUGGUUUGGUCCCCUUUUCAUGGUUCCCAGGUUCGUGCUUCUCUUCAUCAUCUAUCUCUUAUCAAGUUCUAGGUGUAAACCUAUCAAAUUUUAUAUCUAACAAAUGUUAUUGCUUUGCUACCAAGGUUGUUCUGACCGUGUCUUGGCCUUGACUUAGAUGAAAAAGAGUCAGUUCUUUGGUGUCAUGCCUAGCUACAGUUGGUUGUUUUGUAAGUUGCAAGGUAUCUCAUAAGGCACAUGAACAGAUAUCCAUGGUAUUAAUUUGGAUCUCCAUGCCGCGGGGUAGAAAGGACAGAAAGGAGCAGCAGGAUAGCCAGUCCAAUAUUGAGCAGAUUCUGUCUUGGGGAUCACUACCUCGGUGCAAGCAUCCUCUUCCCCACGCCCCCUGAUUUGGUCAUGGCGGUUAAGGGGUAUAAUACUAUAAUCAUGCCCGAUUGGAUAAGAAUCCUAUGUUUCAUGCAAUUUCUUUGAGUUGAUUUCCUCUGCAGAAGAAUUUACGUGCAGGCUGUCCUCACUAGGAGGGAAAUUUGAUCAUGUGUGCUGUCAGUAGGUCUUCCAGAACUAAUAGUUUUUUGUAUAAAAAAUCAGGAGCUUCAACCGAUUCGCUCGCAUGGCAAGCGACUAGCUCUAGCUAGAUGGGUUCUAUUUCAAUUACAGCUUAGAGAUAACGUUUUCUGGAACUAAACGCUUAUGUUAUUUGGAUUGCCGCAGACAGAUGAUUAGGUUGUCUCUUAGUUUUUUUCAAGUUAUAUAAGCGCCUAUUGAAUAGUUCUUUGCGUCGGACCCUUAGUGUAUGUAGCUGGUUUUUUCAUAUUGGCAUUUAAGCACCUAUAUACAAGCACUCUACAUAUUAGAGAUGGUCUAACAUGAUGUAGUUUUACUGUUGCAAUGAAAUAAAUGAGAAAAUAGCCGUUGUUCGACAGGAAACCUGGAGUCAGCAUCUAGCACCCUGCACUACAAACCAUCGGUUUGUGGUCAAUUUGGUAUCUCGGUGGUGAAAAUUGGAGCAUAUAUACUCUACAGCCAAUCAAAUCAUUUAUAAGUAUGACAUGAACCAUAGAAAGGUAACUGAAUUUGAUUUGACUUUGGUUUAGGUCCAAAUAUAACAACCUUACAUUGGUAAGCGCAUUCGAAAUUGUGAACUAAAAUUAUGCUUAACAUGAGAGGAAAUCAAGUUUUUUGCUACGGGUAUGGUUAACAGUAGCAGCAUAUCAAGUAUAACAGUGGACUGCACUAUUGUUUGUUCACCGUGUUGUUCUUCUUUAGUUAAAGAUUUUCUGAACAUUGAUACCUACCUCUUAAUAGCACUCGCCUAAACACUUUUUUCUUCAUCUAAAAGUGUUAUAUUUUUUACAUAACAGCAUCUUGACGCGGCCAAACAGUGCAGCAAUUAUAUUGUAAUCGUGAUUGCAUAUGUAGCUCUUUUGUUUCCACCCCAAAAUGUCAUUAAACUUAAUUUAAAUUUCAGUUCGAUCUGAAGAGGUUAUGCCCUUUCACUUAGUAUCGACCAACAUUGGUUCUCAAUGUUUAUGCAUCAUUAGUUUCAUAAGAUACCAGAAUGCAUGUGUGGAGAGAAUAUUAGUUCAGUUGUUAAAAACAAUCGUUGUACUGUUCCUAAAUUUUGUUAGAUUAGUUGGUCCGCUACAUUCAUAGAAUGCUAGACUUGAACUAUUUAUAGAUUCCAUUUCUUUGCGCACUUUUAGUCCUAUAAGAAGUUCUUUGUUACUACAAAUAAUUGAUUUAUUCCUCAUAUGGAUAUCCUCCUGAAAGAUAUUGAUAGCGGGAGAAAGAAAUUUUAUGUCAGAUAACUAUUUCUCAUUCCACAUUUUACCACUUUUCAUUUCAUGGCCUUCCUUCAAACACAUAAACUUGAUGCAGUCUGUAGGCACUGUAUGCUGAUCUCACAUUUCUCUUUUCAUUUCUUGGUUUGCAUGAAUUUUACUGGUAUAGUGCAUAUUCGUGAUAGGAACUCUUAGCAUUGAGGAAACACAAAGACUCAUUUUGUAUGUACAAUCUGUAAUUUACAUGCCUAAAACCACAAAACUAGAAUACAAAUAUAUGGCAUCAAUAUAGGGAGAAUGCAGAUAACACUUACAGAUUCAAUUUUUUUGUCCACGGAAAUAAGGGAUGGACUAGCGGUAGUAAGACCUUCGAGAGGCUUUCAAAACCCCACGGAAAAUAGCAAGUAAUCUUCCCAUGAUAAACAAAAUCCUAAUACUCUCCAAACACACAAAGUUAGCAUUUUGUAUAUCCUAGAGUCAACCACAUUUGAAAUUAUUCACUCAUGUUUCAUGCAAUUUUUACAAAUGCGAAAUAAAUCAAGACCUUUUUCUAAAGCUUCUAAAAAGUAUACUUACAUUAGCGAAUGGCUAUAAUUCCUUUGUAUGUGUACUGUAAUAUAUAGGUACAUGGAAAAUUGUGACAUGCCUGCAAUAACAUAUGAUAUUUAUUUAUGUUUGCCCUGCAAUAAAACUAUUUAGUAAAUGCAAAGCCAUCAAGAACUAAUAAUAUAUAAUAAUAUUGUUAACUAAACAUAUACAAAGUAAAUAUUCAUAAUAUGAUAGCCGUGCGAAUGCACGGGUUGGCGACUAGUGCUUGCUAAUUAUACUUUUAAGGGUGGAAUACCAAAGAAACUUGGAGAUCCAGGAGUACCAACUAUACCAUGCUCCAUUAAAAUAAACUAUGUUAAAACUGCUUUAUGUGAUCUUGGAGCUGGUGUUAGUGUUAUGCAUCUCUCUUUAUAUCGUAGACUUGAUUUGAAUAAGUUGACACCUACUAAAAUAUCUU